Erinaceus europaeus (western European hedgehog) is the source of this 2157-nucleotide long non-coding RNA. RefSeq lists it as uncharacterized. The record is from RefSeq and is a predicted model, not a curated record. The transcript has 3 exons. Lineage: Eukaryota; Metazoa; Chordata; Mammalia; Eulipotyphla; Erinaceidae.
GCUGACUGGUGACAGACAUUGACUAAGAAGAAAGCACAUUAUCUCAUGCUACUUGUCUUAGGAAAGAAGCUUUACCUCAAGUAGGGAGAGGGUCACAGGAGGAAACUGCCUCUGCCUUGCAUCUUCUGCUACCCAUUGUGGAUCCCAGGGGGACUGCACAAGUGCCUUUUGUGGCCACAAGAUGUAACUCCAAUACAGUACUUUAUACCAACAACUGUGCGUUUUCCUUAAGCCACCAAGUUGCAGACUAUACUGGGAUUCCAUCCUGACUUCCCUAAGCAGAUGACCUCACCAGUGUGUCCGGAACCUCACCAUCACAGACCCCUUCCCUACUAGGCAAAGAGGGAAACAGGCCGGGGAUCUGGAUUGACCUUCCAACAUCCAUGUCCAAUGGAGAAGCAGUUGCAGAGUCAGACUCCCCACUUUCUGUACCCUAUAAAGAACUUUGGUCCAUACUCCCAGAGGGACCAAAAAUAGGGAAGCUUCCAAUGGAGGGGGUAGGAUAUGGAACUCUGGUGGUGGGAAUUGUAUGGAAUUGUACCCCUCUUAUCUUAAAAUUUUACUAAUCAUUGUUAAAUCACUAAUAAAAAAUUAAAUAAAUAAGUAAAUAAUCAUGCUCAGUUCAGGUUGUAAGUACUUAAAAAAAGAAGUAUAUAUCCGAGAUUAGAAUCAAUCAACCAAUGUGAAGACAGUAGAGAAGAAAGGAUAUGCAAGUUUCAAAAAUAAUAAGACCCUGGCCUCAAGGUAUGUUUGCCUAGGAAAAUAAGGCCUAUCCAGAGGAGCUCAAAAUUAGUAACAAGGGGCGCUGGGAAAAGUGCUGAAGGGCUAAGAGGUGAAAAACUCUUAUGAUAAAUGAGAUAAAGUGUCCCAGAUAAUAAAAACACUGUGUAGUAGGACAAGGAUUCCUCCUGAGUAUUUCCUAAGGGGAGAAAAUAUAUCAGCCUUCAUACUGAACACCACCACCACAUCCUGUUUAAUACUGCCAGAUCUUAGGAAGAAUGUCAUAUUUUCUUUAGGGAGAGAACAAAGGUGGUUUGGUGCUGCCCUCACAGCGCUGGCAUGAUCAAAGGAGGUGAGCCCAGACAUCUUUUUUUUUUUAAUAUUUAUUUUAUUUAUUUAUUCCCUUUUGUUGCCCUUGUUGUGAGCCCAGACAUCUUAUACAUUUGGUUGGACACAGAAAGUCCGAGAGGACAUAGAAAACAGCCACAACAAAACCAAAAGGGACAUUUGGUCAUUCUACCAGCGCCACCAAUUAUAUUAAUAGUAUUUUAUGGGAGUCGGGCAGUAGCGCAGCGUGUUAAGCGCACGUGGUGGGAAGCACAGGGACAGGCAAAAGGAUCCUGGUUCGAGCUCCUGGCUCCCCACCUGCAGGGGAGUCGCUUCACAGGCAGUGAAGCAGGUCUGUAGGUGUCUAUCUUUCUCUCCCCUCUCUGUCUUCCCCUCCUCUCUCCAUUUCUCUCUGUCCUAACUGACAACAAUGACAACAAUAAUAACUACAACAACAAUAAAACCAACAAGGGCAACAAAAGGGAAAAUAAAUUAAAAAGACCAGUAUCUUACAUUGUGUUUUUUGAUUUGUAAAGAUUUUCACUUUAUCAUCAUUUAAAAUGUCUAUGUUGUAAAGAUGGCAGCUGGUAAUACUCAUUUAAAGAAGAAGAAAUUGAAUUUGAUUGAUUGGUCUGAUAUCAUCUGAGUGACAGUGUUUUGGUCCUGCAGAAGUGGAAUUCAGAUCUACUAAAAAUUCUGUCUUUCUUGAGUUACUGUAAAAUUGUUAGGUUGUUGAUGGUUCUCUAUAACAAUAAGAGUAUUUAUUAAGGCCUUACUUUUUUUUUAUUGUAUAGAGACAUCCAGAAAUUGAGAGGGAAGGGGGUAAUAGGGAGAGGCAAAGAGACACCUGCAGCACUGCUUCAUCACUUGCAAAGCUUUCCUCCUGCAGGUGGAGACGAGGGUCUUGAACCCAGGUCCUUACGCAACACAACAUGUGCGCUCAACCAGUUGUGCCACCGCCUGGCCCUGAGGCCUUACUAUUUCUUUAGAAUGUGUAUUACUUCUUCAAACUAACUUAUGAGGUACAACUUCUCAAUUUCAUUUACAGUUAAGAAAAGGAAGGGAUUGGGAGCUGGGCGGUGUUGCAGCAGGGUCAGCACACAUGGUGGA